RNAcentral lists this unclassified non-coding RNA (379 nucleotides) under uncultured bacterium. RNAcentral describes it as "contains 16S-23S intergenic spacer region". The record is from RNAcentral.
UCCGGUUUGUCACCGGCAGUCUGGCGUGAGUCCCCAACUUAAUGCUGGCAACACGCCGCGGGGGUUGCGCUCGUUGCGGGACUUAACCCAACAUCUCACGACACGAGCUGACGACAGCCAUGCAACACCUGUCCUGGUACCCGACUUUACGGGUCGGUAACCCUUUUAGGCACCUACUUCCAGGAUGUCAAACCCAGGUAAGGUUCUUCGCUUUGCAUCGAAUUAAGCCACAUGCUCCACCGCUUGUGCGGGCCCCCGUCAAUUCCUUUGAGUUUCAUUCUUGCGAACGUACUCCCCAGGUGGUGUGCUUACUGCGUUAACUGCGUCACGGACCCGCACGGGCCCACAACUAGCACACAUCGUUUACAGCGUGGACUAC